Molecule: long non-coding RNA, 771 nt
Filed under: Volvox carteri
Lineage: Eukaryota; Viridiplantae; Chlorophyta; Chlorophyceae; Chlamydomonadales; Volvocaceae
Description: long non-coding RNA (VCAR_LNC003689)
Source: RNAcentral
NGCUGAUCCUCCAAUGACGACAGUGUAAGGUAAAGCCUAAUAAAUUAGCAUCUUCAUAACAAGAAUCUGUCUUUCUUCCUCUAUAAUGGCGCAGCAUUCAUUCGCAGGCAAGCAGGGGAAAGCAGGAAAAGGGGGACUAGACGCCACCGGCAGUAAGUGGCCAUCAUGCAGGUGCAUACACUGACAUUAUGCCUUGUCAUUUUACAUUCCAAGGACACGAGCAGGAGAAUCGCAAGGAAUAGGACAAGCGCAAGGAUGGUGGUAAGGAUAUGAACAAGAGUCGGGCUCAAACGGCACGUGGCAGGCCACGAAGCGGCCGUUCGGAGGUAUGAAGCCUCUGGUUGCAAGACCAUGGCUAUUAACUAAAUGCUUUUUAUUGCCUUAUUUCGAGGCACGUUAUGCCGGUGUCACACCUACAGCCGUCAUUGUACGUAACAUGCUCACAACUAUGUGUUCCUGCCUAAACAAUGAUUUGCUGUGAUCCUUUCAUAUGCAGAUAUAUGCCGUCGUUCGUGAAGAUGACAUCAGCGGAGGCGAGGAUUGAGCGCUUUAAUAAGAAGACAAUAGUGGAUGUAUUGUGGUACAUUUACAUGCGCUUAACAUUUGUGUGUCGAUUUUUUCUGACGUUAGACUGUUGGACCCUUUUCCAUGGUAAGAGUUGCUGGCUGAGUUGCCUCGGUCAUGUUAGGAUUUGCUAUGAAUUCGUACCUGUCAUUCAGGGAUUGCAUGUUGAUUAAGUGCUCGUCCUGUAGUGUAGUACGGCAAGUGCGG